UGGGGCGUGGCCAAGUGGUAAGGCAGCAGGUUUUGAUCCUGAUAUUCGGAGGUUCGAACCCUUCCGUCCCAG
RNAcentral lists this transfer RNA (72 nucleotides) under Bryum argenteum. RNAcentral's name for it is "tRNA-Gln". It matches the Rfam family "tRNA". From Rfam's summary of the family: Transfer RNA (tRNA) molecules are approximately 80 nucleotides in length. Their secondary structure includes four short double-helical elements and three loops (D, anti-codon, and T loops). RNAcentral also lists the same sequence under 5 other names. The record is from RNAcentral. Lineage: Eukaryota; Viridiplantae; Streptophyta; Bryopsida; Bryales; Bryaceae.